AAUCUGCCAAUCUCAAUUGGCAAACUGAUACACUUGAGGUACAUCAACUUUGAGGGUUCUGCAAUUGAAACUUUGCCGGGAUCUGUUUGCAAACUUUAUAAUUUGCAAACACUGAGGCUAAACAGAUCCGCUCUUAAGGUUCUUCUGAAGGGGAUGUGCGAUUUGAUUAGCUUGAGACAUCUCCACUUUUACACCCUUGCUGAAGAAUUUCAAAUGCCUUCAGACACUAGAGUUCUUUAAAGUGGGUCGAGUGAAGGGUCGACAAAUUGGAGAGCUUAGAAGCUUGAAGAACCUCAAAGGCAAAUUGGAGAUACGCAAUCUGGAACUAGUAAAGGAUAAGGAAGGAGCUGAGGAAGCAAAACUAUUUGAAAAGGCUAAUCUAUUUAGUUUGCGAUUUGAGUGGGCCUUGCUCCGCGAAAAACAAGGCGACAACUACAACGACAAAGAUGUGUUGGAUGGCCUUCAACCCCACCCAAAUUUGGAGGAGUUGGUAAUUUGGCGUUUUAUGGGCGAUCAAUUUCCUCGAUGGUUAAUGGAUUUGCCAACAACACUCCCCAAGUUAGCGUGUUUGGAAUUUAAUUGCUGCCACAGAUGCAGAGAACUCCUUCCCCUGCAAAACUUUACGUCUCUUAAAGAGCUGGUGAUUGAUGAGUGCGAUGAGUUGACGAAUCUGCCAGGUGACAUGCUACACUCUUGUGCCUCUCUCCAAAAGCUUCGGGUGGUUUGUUGCGACAAUCUUAUCUCCUUUCCGCUUGAUUUGCAACAAACGCCUUCUCUCUAGAAGCUGAAAUUAUUGUGGUGUCGCAAACUGAAAACAAGCAUGAUGCCCAAAGGAUUUGGUUUCCUAACCAGCUUAAGGGAGCUUACAAUUGGUCCCUUCUUAGAUGAUGGUGAUGAUCAUGAAAAUUCUUCAAUUUACAAUGAGUUUGAUUGGUCUGGAUUGAUAUCCUCCUCCUCCUCCUCUUCAUCAUCCGCACUCCGUGAAUUAUACUUAUAUGGGUUGCCACACAUGGAGUCCCUGCCACCUCAGAUCCAAUACUUGACCGCUCUCACGUCACUCGCGCUAGGUUACUUUGGAGGUAUAAAAGCUCUGCCAGAUUGGUUCGGAAACUUCGCUGCUCUUGAAGAACUAUAUUUAUAUGAUUUCAAAGAGCUUGGACAUCUACCCUCUGAGGAUGCCAUGAGAAGUCUCACCAAACUAAAAUGUCUGCACGUUUAUGGUUCUCCUGUGUUAAAAGAAAGAUGCACUCCUGAGAGCAGCAGCCCCGACUCCCAGUGGUCCAAAGUUUCUCACAUUCAAUACCUACACAUAACCGAUGAUUAACCACUCAUCUCAGAUCAAAUUCAAUCAUGAUCGAUAGAAGAAUAGCUUCACGAACAGAGGUCAAAAUUUGAAUCUUCUUCAGCACCAUCUAUAUGGCUAGACCUCAAUAACUUUUGGCCUGCGUUUCCUACAAAUUGCUUAUCAACGUUUAGAACAACUAGCAGUCUAGUUUUGUUUAUUUUACAUGCUCUGUUUCUGUGGAUUUUAAGUCAUUAUUGCUAAAGUCAUCUCACUCUGUUUAAAAUUGUGAUUCUAAGGGGACUGAACUUUUACCUCGUCUCUUGAUAAUGAACUUGCAUACUUAUCUGAACUAUUUGACUAGUAAUUGCUCCAUCGGAGUCAUAUAUGAUGGUUUUCUGGCUCACUUUUCCUUGAUUUUGGCUUUUUAUCCAUGAAGACAAUGGUCAAUUGAGGAGUUUUCGCAGCUGUUGGUCAUCACUUUCAUGUUUUGGUUCAAAAAUUCUGAAAUCUUGCCGUCACGAAGAUAUUUUUGAGGUAGCCAAGGAAGGGGUGUACUGUUUGAGCAAUGAAGUUGCACAAAACUUGGCGGAGUAUCUUCCAACAUUCAACUCUAAGCGCAAUGUUUUGAAGCAUUCUGGUAGUUAGUCAAAUCUACCUGCUGUGACUUGCUGAUCUUGAUGAGUCCACCUUGAUAGAGGCUUUUAAGCUCUCUCUGCUUUUAUGAUUGUUGUUUGCUUCUUUUUUUAUGUGACUGUAGGCUUAAAGCUCAGUCGGGGAACUAAAGUACCGCCUUCACUUUUGAAAAUCCUCUCUUUCCUUCAAAGUAUAUCAACGGAUAAUUGAAGCAACAACAGACCAUAAAGACUUCAGGAGUUUCCAAAGCUGUUGGCUGUUAAACUGGUUUUUGGUUCUCAGAGUCCAGUAAGCCACAGAAGAUGUCUGUUCAUGCAAUAAAGCUGCACGGACUUGUUGGAGUAUCUUCUAACAAAUCAAGUCUAAGCUGCAACUUUUGAAGCAUAUCGCCGUAGUUAGUCAAGACUGUCAAACAUACUUGCUGCCUGCUGCUACUUGCUGCAAUUGUUUCAUCCGCUGUGAUGAAGGCUAUUAAGCUCAUCCCACCUUCUAUACUUGUUGGUUGCUCCUCUCUUCAUGAUGAAAACAUCCAGGAUGGAAUUCUCUUUUGCUCUCUGCCUUGGAUGGCUAAAGCCUGAGAUCUUCCUUGUUGGCUCGUGAUUUUAAACUGUCCAACCAUUCAGCAAUUUGUAGACAUGUUAAUGAGGUGUUCUUUUACUUCUUUUGGAACUCAAUUUGCCAUAUCUUCUGUGGUGCUUGUAGUUCAAAGUAGCCAGUAUUUUGCAGCAGAAAGAUGUGGAUUAGCUGAACCCUGAUAGCUGCUUGCAUCCUUCUUGAAGUUGUAUCUUAGCUCUAUAACAGGCAACAUAUUUUUUCUCAAGUGUUCUGCAGUUGACUACAGGUUGUGUCGGAUGGAACUUUUCCAUUGCUCCUUGUAUCUGUAAAGCUCAGACAGGACUCAGACAACAAAGAAUCAGUCAGAUUGAGCCCUUCUAUUUAUGUUAAUUUGAGAGAAAACUGAAUUGCUAAGGCA
This is a non-coding RNA of Coffea arabica (coffee), 2891 nucleotides long. NCBI's taxonomy places the organism in Eukaryota, Viridiplantae, Streptophyta, Magnoliopsida, Gentianales, Rubiaceae. The record is from RefSeq and is a predicted model, not a curated record.